CACCUGUACCCAUGCCGAACACAGAAGUUAAGCCCUAGAACGCCGGAAGUAGUUGGGGGUUGCCCCCUGUGAGAUAUGGAAGUCGCUUAGC
RNAcentral lists this ribosomal RNA (91 nucleotides) under Streptococcus mitis. The record is from RNAcentral. Lineage: Bacteria; Bacillati; Bacillota; Bacilli; Lactobacillales; Streptococcaceae.